Long non-coding RNA from Ctenopharyngodon idella (grass carp), 801 nucleotides. RefSeq lists it as uncharacterized. The record is from RefSeq and is a predicted model, not a curated record. Lineage: Eukaryota; Metazoa; Chordata; Actinopteri; Cypriniformes; Xenocyprididae. The transcript has 2 exons.
GUUUCCCUCUCAUCCCUCAGCAGUUGUGGGUGUGCCCGUGGUUUCGGUACAGGAUGCAUCACUGUAUUCCCGUCCUAAUGUGUCCGGUGAUCCGUGACACGCACUCAAGCUGUGAUUUUUAACACUCGUGUUUGUGUAGAAGCGCCUCAGUGCAGGUGACAGCUUUCCAGGCUGGAAGCACUUGGGAAAAUCACAAGGUUGUCCGACUGCAAUGCAAAUUCAGAUUCGUAUCAGUCAGUCUGGAGCUUUAUUGAGCCAGUUGAUAUUAUUCCAAAGUUUGACUUCGCUGCAAAAAAUCAUAUGCUUUUGUAUUAAGCCAUGAGAAACCAGGAGCAGUCAUUUUUCAGAUGCAGUCUGAGAACCUUCGAGAGCUUGCACUGACGCCGCACGCUGAGCUUUUCUUCUUGAAGAUGGACACAAAUGAACUCCACAACCUCUUAAACGCUAACUGGUUUCCAGAAGGCACGUUAAAUGGUUUCUUAGUACAAUGCAUCUCGAGACAAACAGCUUCUUCAUCUUGUUUCAUUUUGAGAAACAGAACGAGCUGUUUUGCUGAGAAAAUGCACUGGUUUGAGUAAACACAAAAACAUGAUAAAAUUAAGCACUAAUUACAGCUAAAAACGGAUGGUAAAUUAGUUGAGUGUAUUUACUGAGUUAGAGCAAAAAAUGAGCUAAAAGCAAUUAAAAGUGGAGAGAAAAGAAGGAAGAUGCACACAGACCCAUUAACCACCAUACAAAUGGAAAACAGAUGAUUGACUUUGAGGGUUUAAUGGAGGAUUUAAUAAAAUGUUUUGUGGUUCA